GGAACCUCUUCCCACUGUAUUCAGUAUGCUGCACCUUCUGGAUGAGAGUGGUGUGCAUACCUACAGGUCUGUUCGAGGCUGCCUGUGUGCAAUACGUCUCUGACAGCACCAUGAAAAUCGUCUUCUUCAACUGCAAGCCCUCCAUGGUUAUAUGACACUGUGCAGGGCAUACACUCAGUCAUUUCAGAUCUUUCUGAUGAACUCAUCACCAGGCCUCCACUCAUGGACUUACUCACCCAGCAUCUUCAGCCUGGCUGCACUCAGGUGGCAGUGCUCUCCCCUGUAUCAGAGCUGAGGGCCUCCACCAAGCACCACGAGCCCUCCUGUCUGGGUGACUACAUCUUCCAAGUCUGUUCCCUAGAUCCACGCCCUCGGAGACCCCUUCAGCAGCAGUGUCACCCUGCUGGACCCCUUUGCCCCGCUCUUCCCCCAACAUCCCAGCCCUGUAUGUGCUGA
This 456-nucleotide long non-coding RNA is filed under the name Oncorhynchus kisutch (coho salmon). RNAcentral describes it as "lncRNA (ENSOKIG00005049427.1)". The record is from RNAcentral. Lineage: Eukaryota; Metazoa; Chordata; Actinopteri; Salmoniformes; Salmonidae.